GGCUGGGGCAGUGUUCGUUCUUCCUUUGGAGAUGUCUCGCUUAUGUUCUUCUAUUCUCGUUUUUGAAUUGCGUUUCGUGCUACCAAUGUGCCACUGUGUGCAUUCUUCAUCAUUGUUGUGUAGUGGAGUGCCAUAUAUUCCAGCCCUUCUGUCAUGCGGUGCAUGGUCCUUGUCGUUUCUUGUCCGAUCGAGUGCAGUCUGGCCUCUUCUCAUGACCAGUAUGGGCCGCUCAUCACUGGGGAGAUGUUUGGUGAUGGUACUGGCAGCAUCACUAUCAUGCGUGAUUUUGGCAUACUUAGGCCUAAUGCGUCCCUGGUCGGUGG
Molecule: long non-coding RNA, 323 nt
Filed under: Androctonus crassicauda
Lineage: Eukaryota; Metazoa; Arthropoda; Arachnida; Scorpiones; Buthidae
Source: RNAcentral